AGGAUCUUGAACAAGCAUACCACUGCAGUUACAAAUCUCAGUCAUUAAUAAACAAGCUUCUUAAGAACACUGCAUGCAUGAAAAAAAAGGUCAACAUGAUAAGAUUAUCGAGUCAAAUAAAUAAAUUAGACGAUAGAAUAUGGAUAAGAAAAGAUUUCCACCCAGUCAGGUAAAUGUGACAACAAAUUGCAUGAAUAUCAGGUGCUGCAAUUGAACUCAAUAUUUUCACAUUUGUGACUCAGCAAAUUGAAGUAACCAAUGUUACUUCGAAAAGCACUGUUACAUAGACCAUCUGUAAUAAUAUGUUUCCACCCAUAAUCUAUCACCGCCUUCUAAUUGAUGCUUCACAACUUAUGAAAUUCAUGCACCGAAUCAGAGCCAUAAAAGCACAAAGUAUAAUCAUCUUAUCUUUCAGAGUAGGAAACAACUGCAUUUUACAGACAAAUUUAUUUUUAGCCAAUAACUAAUACAACAACUAUAAUGAAAUUAAAUAUCAUCCACGAAUUCCUUGUCUCCAUAAAAUUUAUAAAGGCAAGCUUGCCUUUUCAUUAAAAUGCCUAAAACGAGAACAUGCCCUAAAAUAUGAGACAAAAUCAAUUUCCAUAUAUAAAAUAUAAGGAAUUCUUCAUCUAAAGCUUAAUAAUUACAAGAAUGAACAUAAAGCUAACAAUGCACUACACAACAGCUAAUAAGCUCAGUCCCUUUUCCUUAACCUCACAGCGUCUUUACAUAAUACCAUUUAGGUCCCAUUCCAAACUGUUUCUAGAUCAUUUAUAGAUCAAUGCAUAUAUAGUCCCUUAUCUCCAAGUAACCUGCACCAUGAGAGGUUAUCCUACCCUAAUCUACAUUUCCUAAUCCUUCGAAGGCGCAGAGCUUCCAUUUUGCUUCACUAUUAGAGAUAAAAUGAAUACACCCAACCAACGCCAUGCCACAUAAUCCAGACCUACCCAAUAACUCAUACUCAAAGCAGCUCUCCACCUCCCCAAAUGCUAGUUCCUCCAGCCUGCUAAGCAACCUUCAACAGCCCAUGCCGACACUAGCGUGCCUAGGAAUGUUGACCCACAAUUUCAAAAUUAAGCUCAACUUCAAGUUGGUUAAAAUAACCAUUUAUUUCCUUUCCAAAACUAUUCUCUAUGAAACUUAAAGGUAAUAAACAUCAAUAACCCCAAAUUUCAUAGACAUCAAACCAUUCAAAGGUCAAGAAAAUCGAUCGUAUCGUGCCUGGUAAUCUCUUGCCUGUAUCUUUCCCUACCUUUCCCCUCAAUACUCUAGCCCAAACCAAACAACAAAUCAUAAAUUAAAUCGCAAAACACACGAAACAAAUUAUGAAAUUAGAGCUAUGUAAACAAAAGAGCGGAUACAUAAAUGAAAAGGGAAUUUAGAGUAUAAAAAGAAGAAGUAGGGACCUCUUCUCGCCACCGGUGUAGUAC
Molecule: unclassified non-coding RNA, 1430 nt
Filed under: Hevea brasiliensis (rubber tree)
Lineage: Eukaryota; Viridiplantae; Streptophyta; Magnoliopsida; Malpighiales; Euphorbiaceae
Source: RNAcentral